This 201-nucleotide long non-coding RNA is filed under the name Mytilus galloprovincialis (Mediterranean mussel). Lineage: Eukaryota; Metazoa; Mollusca; Bivalvia; Mytilida; Mytilidae. The record is from RNAcentral.
CCCAUUUUCAUAGUCCACUAAACAUAGAAAAUGAUAGUGUAGAUGAGGCAUCCGUGUACUAGGGACACGUUCAUGUUUCUUCAAAUUUUCGUCGUAUCGCUGUAAAUUUGUGUUAAAAUUUUAACGUCGAUAUUAAUAAAUAUUUCAUUGUUUACGAGAAAUAUGCAAUUUACUAUCAUUGUUAUAAAUCCUAAAUAUGGC